UCCAGACUCCUACGGGAGGCAGCAGUGAGGAAUAUUGGUCAAUGGGCUAAGGCCUGAACCAGCCAAGUCGCGUGAGGGAAGACGGUCCUAUGGAUUGUAAACCUCUUUUGUCGGGGAGCAACGAGGCCACGUGUGGCCGAAGUGAGAGUACCCGAAGAAAAAGCAUCGGCUAACUACGUGCCAGCAGCCGCGGUAAUACGUAGGGGGCAAGCGCUAUCCGGAUUUACUGGGUGUAAAGGGAGCGUAGACGGUUAUGCAAGUCUGGAGUGAAAGGCGGGGGCUCAACCCCCGGACUGCUCUGGAAACUGUAGAACUAGAGUGCAGGGGGGGUAAGUGGAAUUCCUAGUGUAGCGGUGAAAUGCGUAGAUAUUAGGAGGAACACCAGUGGCGAAGGCGGCUUACUGGACUGUAACUGACACUGAGGCACGAAAGCGUGGGGAGCAAACAGGAUUAGAUACCCGGGUAU
RNAcentral lists this ribosomal RNA (466 nucleotides) under uncultured bacterium. Its description in RNAcentral is "bacterial SSU rRNA". It matches the Rfam family "Bacterial small subunit ribosomal RNA", at positions 330 to 793 of the family's 1533-position model. The record is from RNAcentral.